GUCUAUGGCCAUGCCACCCUGAACAAGCCUGAUUCCGUCUGAUCUCAGAAGCUAAGCAGAGUUGGGCCUGGUUAGUACUCAGACCUAGGAAGACCAAGUGCUUAGGUA
This 108-nucleotide ribosomal RNA is filed under the name Pteropus alecto (black flying fox). Lineage: Eukaryota; Metazoa; Chordata; Mammalia; Chiroptera; Pteropodidae. The record is from RNAcentral.